Molecule: ribosomal RNA, 502 nt
Filed under: uncultured bacterium
Lineage: Bacteria
Description: bacterial SSU rRNA
Rfam family: Bacterial small subunit ribosomal RNA
Source: RNAcentral
GGCUCAGGAUGAACGCUAGCGACAGGCCUAACACAUGCAAGUCGAGGGGCAGCACAAGGAGCAAUCUGAGGUGGCGACCGGCGCACGGGUGAGUAACACGUACGCAACCUGCCUGUAAGCGGGGAAUAACCCGUUGAAAGACGGACUAAUACCGCAUAAUACUAAAUUACUGCAUGGUAAUUUAUUUAAACAUUUAUGGCUUACAGAUGGGCAUGCGCAUGAUUAGCUAGUUGGAGAGGUAACGGCUCCCCAAGGCAACGAUCAUUAGGGGUUCUGAGAGGAAGGUCCCCCACACUGGUACUGAGACACGGACCAGACUCCUACGGGAGGCAGCAGUGAGGAAUAUUGGUCAAUGGACGAGAGUCUGAACCAGCCAAGUCGCGUGCAGGAAGAAUGUCCUAUGGAUUGUAAACUGCUUUUGCAGGGGAAUAAAGUGCAUCACGUGUGAUGUUUUGUAUGUACUCUGCGAAUAAGGAUCGGCUAACUCCGUGCCAGCCGCCGC